UUAAAUAGCCAUAUCACCCUGCAGCCCAAGACCGGUUACUCACUGAAGCUAAGCAGGGCUGAGCCUGGUUAGUACCUGGAUGGGAGACCAAUUGGGAACACUAGGUUGCUGGUGGAA
RNAcentral lists this ribosomal RNA (117 nucleotides) under Danio rerio (zebrafish). The record is from RNAcentral. Lineage: Eukaryota; Metazoa; Chordata; Actinopteri; Cypriniformes; Danionidae.